Molecule: small RNA, 310 nt
Filed under: Pan troglodytes (chimpanzee)
Lineage: Eukaryota; Metazoa; Chordata; Mammalia; Primates; Hominidae
Description: retained intron
Source: RNAcentral
UACGUCAUAGUAUUAAUAUUUAACAUAUGUAUUGCAUUGUGAUUCUGAUUUUUCAUUAUUUUCUCUCUGACACUUCACAUAAAAUAUUCUGUUCUUUCUUCUUUCUGACAGAUGAAAAUAGAUGUUUAAAAGCAAAUGCCAAAUCAUGUGGAGAAUGUAUACAAGCAGGGCCAAAUUGUGGGUGGUGCACAAAUUCAACAUUUUUACAGGAAGGAAUGCCUACUUCUGCACGAUGUGAUGAUUUAGAAGCCUUAAAAAAGAAGGGUUGUCCUCUAGAUGACAUAGAAAAUCCCAGAGGCUCCAAAGAUAU